RNAcentral lists this ribosomal RNA (322 nucleotides) under uncultured bacterium. RNAcentral's name for it is "bacterial SSU rRNA". It matches the Rfam family "Bacterial small subunit ribosomal RNA", at positions 32 to 332 of the family's 1533-position model. The record is from RNAcentral.
AAUCAACGCUGGCGGCGUGCCUAACACAUGCAAGCCGAACGCGAAAGCCCUUUCGGGGGUGAUAGAGUGGCGUCCGGGUGAGUAACACGUGGGUAAGUCUACCUUCGGGUGGGGAAGUAACGUACUCGAAGAGACGCUAAUACCGCAUAAUGCAGCGGCACCACAUGGUGUAUUAGUUGUUAAAGACGGGGGUCGGCAAGACCUCGCGCCUGAAGAGGAGCCUGCGGCAGAUUAGCAGUUGGUGAGGUAAUGGCUCACCAAGGCGGCGAUCUGUAGCUGGUCUGAGAGGACGGCCAGCCACACUGGCACUGACACACGGGCC